UUCGGGUGUUAAAGCACGUUUCAGUAGGGAGGAAGGUUAGUGUAGUUAACACCUGCACUAUUUGUACGUUACCUACAGAAGAAGCACCGGCUAACUCCGUGCCAGCAGCCGCGGUAAUACGGAGGGUGCGAGCGUUAAUCGGAAUUACUGGGCGUAAAGCGCAUGCAGGCGGCCGUGUUAAGUCAGAUGUGAAAGCCCGGGGCUUAACCUCGGAAUUGCAUUUGAAACUAGGCAGGCUAGAGUCUUGUAGAGGGGGGUAGGAAUUUCAGGUGUAGCGGUGAAAUAGCGUAGAGAUCUGAAGGAAUACCAGUGGCGAAGGCCGGCCCCCUCGGACAAAGACUGACGCUCAGAUGCGAAAAGCGUGGGGAGCAAACAGGAUUAGAUACCCUGGUAG
This 394-nucleotide ribosomal RNA is filed under the name uncultured bacterium. RNAcentral's name for it is "bacterial SSU rRNA". It matches the Rfam family "Bacterial small subunit ribosomal RNA", at positions 417 to 793 of the family's 1533-position model. The record is from RNAcentral.